GGGCAACCUGCCCAAAAGAGGGGGAUAACACUUGGAAACAGGUGCUAAUACCGCAUAACCAUAGUUACCGCAUGGUAACUAUGUAAAAGGUGGCUAUGCUACCGCUUUUGGAUGGGCCCGCGGCGCAUUAGCUAGUUGGUGGGGUAAAGGCUUACCAAGGCAAUGAUGCGUAGCCGAACUGAGAGGUUGAUCGGCCACAUUGGGACUGAGACACGGCCCAAACUCCUACGGGAGGCAGCAGUAGGGAAUCUUCCACAAUGGGCGAAAGCCUGAUGGAGCAACGCCGCGUGGGUGAAGAAGGUCUUCGGAUCGUAAAACCCUGUUGUUAGAGAAGAAAGUGCGUGAGAGUAACUGUUCACGUUUCGACGGUAUCUAACCAGAAAGCCACGGCUAACUACGUGCCAGCAGCCGCGGUAAUACGUAGGUGGCAAGCGUUAUCCGGAUUUAUUGGGCGUAAAGGGAACGCAGGCGGUCUUUUAAGUCUGAUGUGAAAGCCUUCGGCUUAACCGGAGUAGUGCAUUGGAAACUGGGAGACUUGAGUGCAGAAGAGGAGAGUGGAACUCCAUGUGUAGCGGUGAAAUGCGCAGAUAUAUGGAAGAACACCAGUGGCGAAAGCGGCUCUCUGGUCUGUAACUGACGC
This 640-nucleotide ribosomal RNA is filed under the name uncultured bacterium. Its description in RNAcentral is "bacterial SSU rRNA". It matches the Rfam family "Bacterial small subunit ribosomal RNA", at positions 119 to 746 of the family's 1533-position model. The record is from RNAcentral.